RNAcentral lists this ribosomal RNA (497 nucleotides) under uncultured bacterium. RNAcentral describes it as "partial 16S ribosomal RNA". It matches the Rfam family "Bacterial small subunit ribosomal RNA", at positions 28 to 507 of the family's 1533-position model. The record is from RNAcentral.
GAUGAACGCUGGCGGCGUGCCUAAUACAUGCAAGUCGAGCGAACGGACGAGAAGCUUGCUUCUCUGAUGUUAGCGGCGGACGGGUGAGUAACACGUGGAUAACCUACCUAUAAGACUGGGAGAACUUCGGGAAACCGGAGCUAAUACCGGAUAAUAUGUUGAACCGCAGGGUUCAAAAGUGAAAGACGGUCUUGCUGUCACUUAGAGAUGGAGCCGCGCUGCAUUAGCUAGUUGGUAAGGGAACGGCUUACCAAGGCAACGAUGCAUAGCCGACCUGAGAGGGUGAUCGGCCACACUGGAACUGAGACACGGUCCAGACUCCUACGGGAGGCAGCAGUAGGGAAUCUUCCGCAAUGGGCGCAAGCCUGACGGAGCCACGCCGCGUGAGUGAUGAAGGUCUUCGGAUCGUAAAACUCUGUUAUUAGGGAAGAACAUAUGUGUAAGUAACUGUGCACAUCUUGACGGUACCUAAUCAGAAAGCCACGGCUAACUACGUG